RNAcentral lists this ribosomal RNA (430 nucleotides) under Anaplasma marginale. RNAcentral's name for it is "bacterial SSU rRNA". It matches the Rfam family "Bacterial small subunit ribosomal RNA", at positions 45 to 503 of the family's 1533-position model. The record is from RNAcentral. Lineage: Bacteria; Pseudomonadati; Pseudomonadota; Alphaproteobacteria; Rickettsiales; Anaplasmataceae.
AGCGUCACACAUGUCAGUCGAACGGACCGUAUACGCAGCUUGCUGCGUGUAUGGUUAGUGGCAGACGGGUGAGUAAUGCAUAGGAAUCUACCUAGUAGUAUGGGAUAGCCACUAGAAAUGGUGGGUAAUACUGUAUAAUCCCUGCGGGGGAAAGAUUUAUCGCUAUUAGAUGAGCCUAUGUCAGAUUAGCUAGUUGGUGGGGUAAUGGCCUACCAAGGCGGUGAUCUGUAGCUGGUCUGAGAGGAUGAUCAGCCACACUGGAACUGAGACACGGUCCAGACUCCUACGGGAGGCAGCAGUGGGGAAUAUUGGACAAUGGGCGCAAGCCUGAUCCAGCUAUGCCGCGUGAGUGAGGAAGGCCUUAGGGUUGUAAAACUCUUUCAGUAGGGAAGAUAAUGACGGUACCUACAGAAGAAGUCCCGGCAAACUC